RNAcentral lists this unclassified non-coding RNA (345 nucleotides) under soil metagenome. Its description in RNAcentral is "partial contains 5.8S ribosomal RNA, internal transcribed spacer 2, and large subunit ribosomal RNA". The stretch from base 1 to 120 matches the Rfam family "5.8S ribosomal RNA", at positions 35 to 154 of the family's 154-position model. The record is from RNAcentral.
GAUGAAGAACGCAGCGAAAUGCGAUACGUAAUGUGAAUUACAGAAUUCAGUGAAUCAUCGAGUCUUUGAACGCACAUUGCGCCCCCUGGUAUUCCGGGGGGCAUGCCUGUCCGAGCGUCAUUGCUGCCCUCAAGCACGGCUUGUGUGUUGGGCCUCCGUCCUCCUCCCGGGGGACGGGCCCGAAAGGCAGCGGCGGCACCGCGUCCGGUCCUCGAGCGUAUGGGGCUUCGUCACCCGCUCUUGUAGGCCCGGCCGGCGCUUGCCGACACAUCAAUCUUUUUUCCAGGUUGACCUCGGAUCAGGUAGGGAUACCCGCUGAACUUAAGCAUAUCAAUAAGCGGAGGA